ACCCUGACACUAGUCCAGGGAAGAGCA
RNAcentral lists this transfer RNA (27 nucleotides) under Tomistoma schlegelii (false gharial). Its description in RNAcentral is "partial tRNA-Gly". The record is from RNAcentral. Lineage: Eukaryota; Metazoa; Chordata; Crocodylia; Gavialidae.